AGUGAACGCUGGCGGUAGGCCUAACACAUGCAAGUCGAACGGCAGCACAGUAAGAGCUUGCUCUUACGGGUGGCGAGUGGCGGACGGGUGAGGAAUACAGCGGAAUCUACUUUUUCGUGGGGGAUAACGUAGGGAAACUUACGCUAAUACCGCAUACGACCUACGGGUGAAAGCAGGGGAUCUUCGGACCUUGCCCGAUUGAAUGAGCCGAUGUCGGAUUAGCUAGUUGGCGGGGUAAAGGCCCACCAAGGCGACGAUCCGUAGCUGGUCUGAGAGGAUGAUCAGCCACACUGGAACUGAGACACGGUCCAGACUCCUACGGGAGGCAGCAGUGGGGAAUAUUGGACAAUGGGCGCAAGCCUGAUCCAGCCAUACCGCGUGGGUGAAGAAGGCCUUCGGGUUGUAAAGCCCUUUUGUUGGGAAAGAAAAGCAGCAGGUUAAUACCCCGCUGUUCUGACGGUACCCAAAGAAUAAGCACCGGCUAACUUCGUG
This 492-nucleotide ribosomal RNA is filed under the name uncultured bacterium. Its description in RNAcentral is "partial 16S ribosomal RNA". It matches the Rfam family "Bacterial small subunit ribosomal RNA", at positions 29 to 507 of the family's 1533-position model. The record is from RNAcentral.